RNAcentral lists this ribosomal RNA (108 nucleotides) under uncultured archaeon. RNAcentral's name for it is "partial 16S ribosomal RNA". It matches the Rfam family "Archaeal small subunit ribosomal RNA", at positions 319 to 429 of the family's 1478-position model. The record is from RNAcentral.
GGCCCUACGGGGUGCAGCAGGCGAGAAACCUUUGCAAUGUGCGAAAGCACGACAAGGUUAAUCCGAGUGUCUCCUGCUAAAGGAGUCUUUUGUCAGUUUAGAAUCACU